Molecule: ribosomal RNA, 696 nt
Filed under: uncultured bacterium
Lineage: Bacteria
Description: bacterial SSU rRNA
Rfam family: Bacterial small subunit ribosomal RNA
Source: RNAcentral
UAACGCGUGAGUAACCUGCCUUCAAGAGGGGGAUAACAUUCUGAAAAGAAUGCUAAUACCGCAUGACAUAUCGGAACCACAUGGUUUUGAUAUCAAAGAUUUUAUCGCUUGAAGAUGGACUCGCGUCCGAUUAGUUAGUUGGUGAGGUAACGGCUCACCAAGACCGCGAUCGGUAGCCGGACUGAGAGGUUGAACGGCCACAUUGGGACUGAGACACGGCCCAGACUCCUACGGGAGGCAGCAGUGGGGGAUAUUGCGCAAUGGGGGCAACCCUGACGCAGCAACGCCGCGUGAAGGAUGAAGGUUUUCGGAUUGUAAACUUCUUUUAUUAAGGACGAAAAUUGACGGUACUUAAUGAAUAAGCUCCGGCUAACUACGUGCCAGCAGCCGCGGUAAUACGUAGGGAGCAAGCGUUGUCCGGAUUUACUGGGUGUAAAGGGUGCGUAGGCGGCUUUGCAAGUCAGAUGUGAAAUCUAUGGGCUCAACCCAUAAACUGCAUUUGAAACUGUAGAGCUUGAGUGAAGUAGAGGCAGGCGGAAUUCCCCGUGUAGCGGUGAAAUGCGUAGAGAUGGGGAGGAACACCAGUGGCGAAGGCGGCCUGCUGGGCUUUAACUGACGCUGAGGCACGAAAGCGUGGGUAGCAAACAGGAUUAGAUACCCUGGUAGUCCACGCUGUAAACGAUGAUUACUAGGUGU